UCGAGGAUCUUCGGCAAUGGGCGCAAGCCUGACCGAGCGACGCCGCGUGCGGGAUGAAGGCCUUCGGGUUGUAAACCGCUGUCAGUGGGGAGGAAACGCCGGUGGGUACUCCCAUCGGUUUGACCUAUCCGCAGAGGAAGUACGGGCUAAGUUCGUGCCAGCAGCCGCGGUAAGACGAACCGUACGAACGUUAUUCGGAAUUACUGGGCUUAAAGGGUGCGUAGGCUGUGCGGAAAGUUGGAUGUGAAAUACCUCAGCUUAACUGAGGAACAGCACCCAAAACUACCGUGCUUGAGGAAGACAGAGGUGAGCGGAACUUAGGGUGGAGCGGUGAAAUGCGUUGAUAUCCUAAGGAACACCGGUGGCGAAGGCGGCUCACUGGGUCUUUUCUGACGCUGAGGCACGAAAGCUAGGGUAGCGAACGGGAUUAGAUACCCGUGUAGUCC
RNAcentral lists this ribosomal RNA (446 nucleotides) under uncultured bacterium. Its description in RNAcentral is "bacterial SSU rRNA". It matches the Rfam family "Bacterial small subunit ribosomal RNA", at positions 355 to 796 of the family's 1533-position model. The record is from RNAcentral.